AUGAGGUAAUCACUGUGUUGAAAUCAGAGACAACAGACUCGGCUCUACUGGGGGCCCACUAUGGUUUCAGUGGACCGGAGAGGGUGCUCCGUGCCCUGCAGAGAGACUCCCUCCAGGCCCAGCAGGACCACCUGGAGGAUGUGUACGAAAAACCAAUUGCUAAGCUUAACCACGUGGUGGAGGCCCAUAAGUGCUCAUCCAAACGGAUGCUGGAACGGCUUGUAGAGGUGUCCGGCUUUCACAGCAGCACCCUACACAGGCUAGAGGAGCAAGAGAGGAGCCACAGGGCUUUUAUUCACAAGAGCAACUGCCUUACCACUCUACUGGAGCAGGACAGAGAAAGAUUCCUCUGGGGUCACUGCAGAAGCCAACAAAGAUUCCCAAGACCAAAGGAUAUGCCACAAACAGAAGAAGCAACAUAGUUCUCAAUACAGGACAGAAAAACAGAAAACCUCCCACAGUGCAUACAGG
Long non-coding RNA from Seriola aureovittata, 471 nucleotides. RefSeq lists it as uncharacterized. The record is from RefSeq and is a predicted model, not a curated record. Lineage: Eukaryota; Metazoa; Chordata; Actinopteri; Carangiformes; Carangidae. The transcript is spliced from 3 exons.